GGUGAACGCUGGUGGCAGGCCUAAUACAUGCAAGUCGAACGGCAGCACAGCAGAGCUUGCUCUGUGGGUGGCGAGUGGCGGACGGGUGAGGAAUACAUGGGAAUCUGCCCAGUCGUGGGGGAUAGCGUAGGGAAACUUACGCUAAUACCGCAUGCGCCCUUCGGGGGAAAGCCGGGGAACCUUCGGGCCUGGCGCGAUUG
This 200-nucleotide ribosomal RNA is filed under the name uncultured bacterium. RNAcentral's name for it is "partial 16S ribosomal RNA". It matches the Rfam family "Bacterial small subunit ribosomal RNA", at positions 28 to 223 of the family's 1533-position model. The record is from RNAcentral.